UUAACAUAAGGAAGUCGCAAAUGAGCGACCAAUUAGUUCUUUGAAAACUGAACGAAACAAACAACGUGAAACGUCAAUUUUUAUUUUUAGAUGCUAGACAAACUAACUUUAUUGGAGAGUUUGAUCCUGGCUCAGGAUGAACGCUGGCGGCGUGCCUAAUACAUGCAAGUCGAGCGAAUGGAUUGAGAGCUUGCUCUCAAGAAGUUAGCGGCGGACGGGUGAGUAACACGUGGGUAACCUGCCCAUAAGACUGGGAUAACUCCGGGAAACCGGGGCUAAUACCGGAUAA
Molecule: ribosomal RNA, 289 nt
Filed under: Bacillus cereus HuB1-1
Lineage: Bacteria; Bacillati; Bacillota; Bacilli; Caryophanales; Bacillaceae
Description: partial 23S ribosomal RNA
Rfam family: Bacterial small subunit ribosomal RNA (bases 109-289)
Source: RNAcentral